CCUGUCCAGCUGUGAGCAGACAUGAUGUAGGCAGUCGCCACCUGGUGGGCCGAGAGGGUACUGCAGGUCGGCCGCGAGAGGUCAUUUACAACAAAUAAAUAAAAAGAUAAUUUAAUUUAAUAUUGCCAUAAAACAUUUAUGAUUAAAUAUUUACCUUUGAAAAAGCAACCAGAAGUAAUAAAAGAAAGACAAAGGAUUAUAAUCAUGUUUAUUCAUUUAUUUGACCUAUUUUUAAUCCUAUUUUUUAUCUCGUCACUGGCGGGAAAAUAGUUCAAACACAGUUAACGGAGAAUAAACCUCAACAAGUGAAUCAAAAUGAAUCUGUGAAACCAAAAAGCAGCUGUGUGCUCGAGGAUGCAGACAGACAGACAGACAGACAGACAGACAGACAGACUGAGUGCCAACAGACUGAGCCAGACGAAAACAAAUGAUUGAAUGUCCAUUAAACAUUAAAUCACUUUAAUUUAUAAAAUGUCUGAAUUCAUAGAUUACAGCAGAAAUACGUCACUUUAUUUUCAUCAGAAGUCUGUCUGUGUCCAACUCUUCCUCACAGGUUAGUUAAUGACAGACAGUCAGUGAGUGUGUGUGUGUCCAACUCUUCCUCACAGGUUAGUUAAUGACAGACAGUCAGUGAGUGUGUCUGUGUCCAACUCUUCCUCACAGGUUAGUUAAUGACAGACAGUCAGUGAGUGUGUCUGUGUCCAACUCUUCCUCACAGGUUAGUUAAUGACAGACAGUCAGUGAGUGUGUCUGUGUCCAACUCUUCCUCACAGGUUAGUUAAUGACAGACAGUCAGUGAGUGUGUCUGUGUCCAACUCUUCCUCACAGGUUAGUUAAUGACAGACAGUCAGUGAGUGUGUCUGUCGUGGCAAUAGGAUUGUUAGGAAGGUCAUUAAACUCAAAAGUGUCUGAGAGACUGAAGAGUUACGUAAAUAUAUAUAUUUAUAUUCUGUCUGUGUGUGUGUGUGUGUGUGUGUGUGUGUGUGUGUGUGUGUGUGUGUCUGUGUGUGUGUGUGUCUGUGUGUGUGUGUGUGUGUGUGUGUGUCUGUGUGUGUGUGUGUGUGUGUGUGUGUGUGUGUGUGUGUGUGUGUGUGUGUGUGUGUGUGUGUGUGUGUGUGUGUGUGUGUGUGUGUGUGUGUGUGUGUGUGUGUGUGUGUGUGUGUGUGUGUGUGUGUGUGUGUGUGUGUGUGUGUGUGUGUGUGUGUGUGUGUGUGUGUGUGUGUGUGUGUGUGUGUGUGUGUGUGUGUGUGUGUGUGUGUGUGUGUGUGUGUGUGUGUGUGUGUCUGUGUGUGUGUGUGUGUGUGUGUGUGUGUGUGUGUGUGUGUGUGUGUGUGUGUGUGUGUCUGUGUGUGUGUGUGUGUGUGUG
This is a long non-coding RNA of Dicentrarchus labrax (European seabass), 1366 nucleotides long. RefSeq lists it as uncharacterized. The transcript is spliced from 2 exons. Lineage: Eukaryota; Metazoa; Chordata; Actinopteri; Moronidae. The record is from RefSeq and is a predicted model, not a curated record.